Molecule: ribosomal RNA, 230 nt
Filed under: uncultured bacterium
Lineage: Bacteria
Description: partial 16S ribosomal RNA
Rfam family: Bacterial small subunit ribosomal RNA
Source: RNAcentral
UACGUAGGGGGCAAGCGUUGUCCGGAUUUAUUGGGCGUAAAGAGCGUGUAGGCGGCCACACAGGUCUGCUGUGAAAACUCGAGGCUCAACCUCGAGCUGUCGGUGGAAACCGUGUGGCUAGAGUCCGGAAGAGGAGAGUGGAAUUCCCGGUGUAGCGGUGAAAUGCGCAGAUAUCGGGAAGAACACCCGUGGCGAAGGCGGCUCUCUGGGACGGUACUGACGCGUGAGAC